AACGAACGCUGGCGGCAUGCCUAACACAUGCAAGUCGAACGAGACAUUCGGGUCUAGUGGGGCAAGGGUGAGUAACGGGAGGGAACCUGAGCUUCGGAUCGGAAUAACUCCCAGAACGGGGUGCAAAUACCGGAUAAUGUCUACAGACCAAGGAUUUAUCGCAUUUGGGUGGGCAAGCGAUGAAUUAGCUAGUUGGUAGGGUAAAAGCCUACCAAGGCGACGGUCCAGAGCUGGUCUGAGAGGAUGAUCAGCCACACUGGGCCUGAGACACCGCCCACAAUCCUGCGGGAGGCAGCAGGAGGGAAUAAUAGACGAUGAGCGAAAGACUGAGCCAGCAAGGCCGCGUGAGUGAGGAAGUCCUUAGGGAUAUAAAGCUCUUUGACCCGGGACGAUAAUGACAGUACCGUAAGAAUAAGCCCCGGCUAACUCCGUG
RNAcentral lists this ribosomal RNA (433 nucleotides) under uncultured bacterium. RNAcentral describes it as "partial 16S ribosomal RNA". It matches the Rfam family "Bacterial small subunit ribosomal RNA", at positions 29 to 507 of the family's 1533-position model. The record is from RNAcentral.